UACGAAGGGGGCUAACGUUGUUCGGAAUUACUGGGCGUAAAGCGUGUGUAGGCUGCUACAUAAGUCGGAUGUGAAAGCCCCGGGCUCAACCCGGGAAGUGCACUCGAUACUGCGUAGCUUGAGUCUCGGAGAGGUUGGUGGAAUUCUCGGUGUAGAGGUGAAAUUCGUAGAUAUCGAGAGGAACACCGGUGGCGAAGGCGGCCAACUGGACGAAGACUGACGCUGAGACACGAAAGCGUGGGGAGCAAACAGG
RNAcentral lists this ribosomal RNA (253 nucleotides) under uncultured bacterium. RNAcentral's name for it is "partial 16S ribosomal RNA". It matches the Rfam family "Bacterial small subunit ribosomal RNA", at positions 524 to 776 of the family's 1533-position model. The record is from RNAcentral.